RNAcentral lists this long non-coding RNA (299 nucleotides) under Homo sapiens (human). Its description in RNAcentral is "non-protein coding LINC01589:6". The record is from RNAcentral. Lineage: Eukaryota; Metazoa; Chordata; Mammalia; Primates; Hominidae.
AGUCACCCUGCAGUGACCCGGCCAGUACAGCCAUGCCGGGUCUCAGCUCUGCUCACCCGCGCAGCUCCCAGAAACUUCCCCGGCUUGUCUCCACUGGAAUCGGGAUGGAAGGGAGCCACGGCUGGCUCAGCCCCUCUCGGAGCAGAAAGAGGAAACUUCUGAAAAGAAGAUGGGGGCUGGGGGAGGACAUCAAUCAGCACGGACAAGUAAGUACUCAGCGCCAGGUGCCCACGUGGCCAGGAACUAAACAGAUGUGCCUGUGCCUUCGUAAAGGAGGGCAACACAGGUUACAAAAAUAA